RNAcentral lists this ribosomal RNA (377 nucleotides) under uncultured bacterium. RNAcentral describes it as "bacterial SSU rRNA". It matches the Rfam family "Bacterial small subunit ribosomal RNA", at positions 521 to 896 of the family's 1533-position model. The record is from RNAcentral.
UAAUACGUAGGGGGCCAGCGUUGUCCGGAUUCAUUGGGCGUAAAGCGCGUGUAGGCGGCCAGGUAGGUCCGAUGUGAAAUCUGGAGGCUCAACCUCCAGCGGUCAUUGGAAACCAUCUGGCUAGAGUCCGGAAGAGGAGAGUGGAAUUCCUGGUGUAGCGGUGAAAUGCGCAGAUAUCAGGAAGAACACCAAUGGCGAAGGCAGCUCUCUGGGACGGUACUGACGCUGAGACGCGAAAGCGUGGGGAGCGAACAGGAUUAGAUACCCUGGUAGUCCACGCCGUAAACGAUGGGCGCUAGGUGUGGGCGGUGUCGACUCCGUCCGUGCCGAAGCUAACGCAUUAAGCGCCCCGCCUGGGGAGUACGGCCGCAAGGCUA